RNAcentral lists this ribosomal RNA (429 nucleotides) under Chloroflexota bacterium. RNAcentral's name for it is "Chloroflexi bacterium partial 16S ribosomal RNA". It matches the Rfam family "Bacterial small subunit ribosomal RNA", at positions 355 to 776 of the family's 1533-position model. The record is from RNAcentral. Lineage: Bacteria; Bacillati; Chloroflexota.
UGGGGAAUAUUGCACAAUGGGCGCAAGCCUGAUGCAGCCAUGCCGCGUGUAUGAAGAAGGCCUUCGGGUUGUAAAGUACUUUCAGCGGGGAGGAAGGGAGUAAAGUUAAUACCUUUGCUCAUUGACGUGACCCGCAGAAGAAGCACCGGCUAACUCCGUGCCAGCAGCCGCGGUAAUACGGAGGGUGCAAGCGUUAAUCGGAAUUACUGGGCGUAAAGCGCACGCAGGCGGUUUGUUAAGUCAGAUGUGAAAUCCCCGGGCUCAACCUGGGAACUGCAUCUGAUACUGGCAAGCUGGAGUCUCGUAGAGGGGGGUAGAAUUCCAGGUGUAGCGGUGAAAUGCGUAGAGAUCUGGAGGAAUACCGGUGGCGAAGGCGGCCCCCUGGACGAAGACUGACGCUCAGGUGCGAAAGCGUGGGGAGCAAACGGG